CCUCGUCCCUGCCGGGCCCGGCUGCCGCAGGUGCGUGGGCGAGCGAGGCGGCUGCGUCCGCGGGCCCCGGCGUGGGGUCGGGGGUUGAGUGGGCACGUGGUUCUUUCUGGGGUGACGAGAAGGUCCUACCGUCGUGGGGAUGGUCCUGCCUCUCUCGGUGAAGUUACUCACUCGGAACGGGUGAGCUUUGUGAUACGUGCUCUGCGUUCAGUAGCGCUGUUACAGUCGUAAGUAAAAGCAGUAACGUCAGCGCCGACCCAGCGCAGCCCUCUCCAGACCGGGUGCGGAGCCCGUCACGUCUGCCCCGCCGGCGAGGAGCAGAGCCCGGCAAGAACCCUCCUCCAGAGGGGCCCCGACCAGGGCUGUGCCUCCGGGAGCAGGUGCUGCUUACACAGAGGGACGCCAGGACGGGCAGCCCCACACCUCCAGUGACCUCCCGUCCCCCAGAGCUGAAGACAUGGCCUGACUAAGCGGCGACCACAUCGACGCACCAGUUUUUUCUUUUUUGAAACAGGGUCUCCCUUUGUCGCCCAGGCUGCAGUGCAGUAGCGCGAUCUCGGCUCACUGCAGCCUCUACCUCCCCGGCACAAGCGAUCCUCCAGCCUCAGCCUCCCGAGUAGCUGGGACUACAGGCGCCACCAUGCCCGGCUACCUUUUGUAUUUUUUGUAGAGAUGGCGCCUUGCCAAGUUCCCCAGGCAUUAACCCGGAAACAACCUGGCGGGUCAGGGAGAGCCUCUUCUGCUCAGAGGUCAUUGUGCCCAGACUUGAGCCCUGGCUGUGAAGUCCCUGAGGCCCCUCACUCCAGGGACGGGAAGCACCAAAGAUGUGAUGUUUCCUCCUCGGUUUCUGAGACUGCCUGGAAGCGGGGGGUGGAUAGUGGUGAGCAGCCGUCUCCUCCUUUCCUGAGAACAUAAAUCAGAAACGCUUUCUGAGGCCGGGCACGGUGGGUCAUGCCUGUAAUCCCAGCACUUUGGGAGGCUGAGGUGGGUGGAUCACCUGAGGUCAGGACCAGCUUGGCCAACAUCGUGAUAACCCCCUCUCCACUGAAAAUACAAAAAUGAGCCAGGCAUGUUGGUACGUGCCUGUAAUCCCAGCUACUUAGGAGGCUGAGGCAGAAGAAUUGCUUAAACUCGGGAAACGGAGGUUGCAGUGAGCUGAGAUUGUGCCACUGCACUCCAGCCUGGGCUACAGAGUGAGACUCUUGUCUCAGGAAAAAAAAAAAAAAAAAAGUGCCUCAAAAAUAAACAAUUAAAAAUGUUCUUAUGGUCUUCACAAAAAUAAACUUUUUUAAAAA
This 1295-nucleotide long non-coding RNA is filed under the name Homo sapiens (human). Its description in RNAcentral is "non-protein coding lnc-METTL26-7:5". The record is from RNAcentral. Lineage: Eukaryota; Metazoa; Chordata; Mammalia; Primates; Hominidae.